Musca domestica (house fly) is the source of this 1659-nucleotide long non-coding RNA. RefSeq lists it as uncharacterized. The transcript is spliced from 2 exons. Lineage: Eukaryota; Metazoa; Arthropoda; Insecta; Diptera; Muscidae. The record is from RefSeq and is a predicted model, not a curated record.
AAAUUGUUCCAUAUUAAGACAGCGAAAGGGAUUUUAUUGCGACGGACUACAGAAACCUUAUCAGCCCAGCGUGUCAACGUCUUCGUCGUUCUCCUCUGUUUCUUCGUCGGAGUAUCGAACUAUGGCCUCCCGAAUAAUAACCUAUACCGCAGCGUCUUACACAUGUUGCUGUUCCAACUCCGGGUUGUGCACCGUUCUGGCAAUUUAAUUGCAACGGAGUCCGGGGUAAAAUACAACGUUGUUAUGGUUAUAACGUAUUGAGGAAUUUUGCAUUUUGAGUUCUCAGUGGAUUGAUUAUUUCCAUAUCUAAUCAAAAUUGAAAAUUUGGGUAUGGCAACCAUAUAACUCGAUUUUUCGUUUUUUUUCAAUAAGAAUUUUCAAUUCCAAAAGGAAUUCUGAAACAUUUCUACACAAAAUUCCAUAUCAUAGCGUUAUGAAGACUACAUUAAGAAUUUAUUCAUAACUUGGUAGGGAAGGGCUCGGAAAUGUACAUAUUCUCCCGUUAACCAAUUUUAAGCCACGAAAACAGAUAAAAUAUGCUACGCUUUUUUCAUAGUCAAUUAGUAAGAAUUUACACCCAUUCGGACGAGCUACACCUAAUCGUCAAGCACGUGCUGGCCGCUAUGAGAACUGUGUAAAAAAAUCAAAUCAUAUAUUCAACACUAUUAAAGGCCAAACGUUACGCUAUAAUGUCGCUAAAAUCAUCAAAAUACGGAACUUAACCUGCCUACUGGCAAAAUACACAAUGUCAAUCCUGGCCCCAAAAAUGUUUGUGUAAAUAAUAAAUUAUGUAUUACCUUAUCUCCUUUAUUACAUACUUACUUUUGAAAAUGCGUCCUAUAUUUGUACAGAUACUACUAACUACUAAAUAACACUAAAUUUGGUAUUGGGUGAUGAAAUAAGGCUGAAAUCCCGAAAUUCGUUGGUUAGGUCUCUCUUGGUGUCUGUGGUUAAGAUAUGGAAGUGGUUUUGCAAAUGUACCCUAUAUUUGUACGAAUACUACUUGAUAAUACUAAAAUUGGUAUUGUGUCAUUUAAAAUAUGGAGGUACUUUUGAAAAUGCGUCCUACAUUUGUAAAGAAACUACUAACUACUAAACAACGCUAUAUUUGGUACUGGGUGUAGAAAUAAGGCUGGAAUCACGAAAUUGUUUAUUUAGUUCUCUGUUGGUGUCUGUGAUUACGAUGUGGAGGUGGUUUUGGAAAUGCGUCCUAUAUUUGUACAAAAACUACCAACUGCCACACUUGGUAUUGGAUAAAGAAAUUCGGCUGAAAUCCCUAUAUUUGUUAUUUAGGUGUCUGAUGUUGUCAUGCGUUAAAAUACGGAGGUGGUUUUUGUAAUGAGUCCUGUAUUUGUACAAAAACUACUAAAUGACACCAAAUCUUGUAUUGGUUGAAGCAAUGAUUUUUAGGUCUCUGUUGGUGUCGGUGUUUAAUAUAUGACGAUAUAGAUAUUUAAGAUAUUUGCUCAAAACCUACUAAAUGAUCCUAAAUUUGCUAUUAUUCGAAUGAACAAGCAUGGAAUCCCGAAAUUUGUUUUUUAGGUCUCUGUUGAGAUAUUUUGUUGGUAUCUGUGGUUAUGAUAUGGAGGUACUUUGGAAAAUGCGUCCUAUAUUUCUACAGAAACUACUAAAUAAUAAUAAAUUUUCAUAAAAACUUCA